UUCAUCAGGACCAAAUAGGGCGCUGUGGGAGGUUCUCCGACCUGCGCGCGAGAGGCUCACCCGGAACAACUGCAAGGCUUGAGAGUCCCUUCGCAGACCUGAAAGCCGUUGAAGACAGUCGGGCGGGCGCACGGGGUCAGAGCACCAGAUCUGAAGAGACGCUUGCACGCUGCCGUUCCGGACGGGCUUCUUGCCCUGCUCUGUGUUGCUUGGCAUGGUGGAUCUGUGUGAGCAGUUGACUGCCCUCUUAGAUUGGGUCAGGGAGAUCAGGUAAACCACUCACUGCCUGCCGGCUGCCUCUCACCGAGCCCCAGAGGCUGGCCCAGGGACAGUGGCCCGGGGGCAGACACCUUCUCAUUUGUACAGUGCACUUUUCUUCGAGACGGUUAUUCCUACUCUCCCGAGUAAAGUCAGACUCAGAAGGUCAAGCUCCUCCGAGAUCUUAAGGUUAGUGGUAAUGAAGUCUCAUGUGUUCUCAAGUCAUGAGCUUAGACUGUUUCGGGGACCGCCGGGAAGCGUGAGACUGCGCCACACCGUCACACGGAGCAGAAUCUUCGUCACUGGAUAAAGAAAGAUGAGCGGUUUUGAGUCCAUGGUGCCAGUGGCAAUUCCACCCUUCCCUCUGCUGUGAGAAAGCACAGGGUCCAUACCAGGCGUACACGUGCAGGUUAACAGUCCAUCCCGGCUUCAGCUCCUGGCAACCAUGAAGAACUACUACGCACUGACUCAGGCCAGUCUCAAAUAAGACAUCUCUCACAGUGGCCGCAGGCCAAGAUGAUCCGGGCAGUCCUUUAGUUGGAAGUUCCCGCUUUCCUGGUGACUCUGACAAUGGGAAGCAAGCAGCUCUCUUUAGUCACUUCCAAUGUGCGUACUCAAAUGGCCUUAUUAACAGUGUUUACGGUGUUCGUAUAAAUAGGCAUUUACUUAGAAAUCAAACCAUGUGUGGUGGUCCAAGCCUUUAAUUCCAUCACUUUGGAGGUGGAGAUAGGAUGAACAAUUUAUGCUCGUCUUUGAUGGAUUGGAGAGCUCCUGGCCAGCCUGGCCUACACGAGAGGCCCUGCCUGCGUCCAAAAACAAGUACAUAAAAUAAUAAGCGAGGCAUCAGCACUCAGAAGUCUGAGCUGGGGAGAUCUGAAGUUCAAGAUGAACGGGCUAGGGCUACCUAGGGCGGUCUAGACCUGAUGGAGUACAUACAUAGACUGCUUUGGGACAGGUCCCAUGCACUCCAUGUCAGCCUUCUAACUCCGUUUAUAACAGACAUGUGAUGAGGGAGGUCCGCCUGUGUGCUGUGAGUGUAUGCUUCUAUUGGUUGAUGAAUAAAACUGUUUCAGCCAGUGAACGGGGUGUAGCCAGGCAGGAAGUAUAGGCGGGGCUACCAGACUAGGAGAAUUCUGGGAAGAAGACUGGAGAGUGGCUCUCAAGGAAAGCCACUGCUGAGUAACUACCAGGAAGGUUCCUGUAAGCCUCAACUCCUCAAGGCAUUUUGAAGACUAUACAAAUUAAAGGAGCUGUUCUCAUUUGUUCUGCAAAGCCUGGGAAUAGGGUCUAGAUCUUGGCAGAGUGCUUGCUUAGUGUGAGGCCCUGGGUUGAAUCCUCAGCGCUACACACACACACCCACACACACACAGGACAUAUGCGUGUGUGUACAUAUUGUGUGUGGGUGUGGGAAGGAGUGGAGGAGAGUGGAUGUGUAGAGAGAGUGUGUGUUUUCAUCUAGUGAAUGCCUUCUUUGUACUUUACAGUUAGAGCAAAUGCUAGCGUGCAAAGGUGGGAGAAAGGCCUCUCUCUGUUUGCAGUUGCUUACUUGCUUGAAAGAACCCAGAACUAUGACUAAAAAGACAAUAACAAGUGUCUGAGAGGAGGAAACUGGAGAACCCGGCAUCACUGGCAGGGCGUCGGAAUGCACUGUGGAGCUCAAAGCAGACAACGGGCAGUUCUUCAAGAAGUGAAAGAGCCAUGUAUGACUCAACAGCUCGCACGACACACGACGACGACGAGACACAGCCAGGAGAAGUGAAAGUGCACAAUCACAUGAGCGCUGGCACCAGAACAGCGGAGCAGUUCCAUUCCGAAAGGAGGGAAAGCCCAUGCCAUGCGGGGCAGACGAAAGGCCAGUGCAGCUUAUCCGUGGGAUGAAACAGAAGAGAUCGUUUGUGGGUGUUGACAGCAUGAAUGAACUUGUUAGAAGUGUCAUGCUUGGAGGGCUGGAGAGAUGGUGCCACGCCUCAAUGCACUUGCUCCUCCAGAGGACUUGGGUUCAAUUCCUAGCAACCACAUGUUGGCUCACAGCCAUCCUUAAUCCACUCCCAGGGGAUCCAACUCGUUCUUUUGGUCUCUGCUGGCCCCAGGCAUGGACAUGGUGUGCAGAUAGACAUAUAUACAGUCAUGGGCAUGGUGUGCAGAUAGACAUACAGACAGACAUGGACACGGUGUGCAGAUAGACAUACAUACAGACAGACAUGGACACCGUGUGCAGAUAGACAUACAGACAGACAUGGACACCGUGUGCAGAUAGACAUACAGACAUGGACACCGUGUGCAGAUAGACAUACAGACAGACAUGGACAUGGUGUGAGUGGGCAUGAGCGGUAUCACACACGCACACACCCAGCCUGGGACAGCAAUAUGGCUUCGUGGGUAAAGGCGCUUGCCCCCAAGCCAGACAAGCUGAGUUGAAUCCCCAGCCCCGAGUGGUGGAAGGAGAAACUGACUCCUACAGGCUGUCUUCUGACUCCCACAUCUAUGCAAUGACACACAUGCACACCCCCUACACAAACACAAUCAAUAAAACAGCUUUACAGAGCUGUUAGAAACACUAUGCAAUGAAAGAGCAGAGGGAAAAAAAAUAUCCUGCUAAGAUGCCUGUUGCUCUGUGUGUUUAGGGUUGGGGGUGGGGCUAAAAAAAAAAAAAAAAAAAAAAAACAGCUUGGGAAGUUUGCUUUGGCUCAUGCUCCCUGAGACUUAAGUCCAGGGUCACUGGGCCCAGUUGUUUUGGCCUGAGAUGUCACAGUACAUCAUGAGGGUCCCAGCGAGAAGUUAAGGAAGACCAUCAACCCAGCCUCCUAGAAACAAAGUAGGGAGGGGUACCCCACUGUCCCCUUCAAAGGCAAAUAACGGAGCUUCUCUCCCAGGAGGGGUUGCUAAUUAACAUUAGGGUCUUUGGGGAAAACUAGGAUCCAAACAAUAGCCAGGCCUGGCGGCACAGGUGAUCCCAGCUACUCAGGAGGCUGAGGCAGGAGGAUCACAAGUUCAGGCCUGCUUGAGCUGCACAGCCAGUCCAAGGCGAGCCCCGGCAACUAGGCCAGAGCCCUCCUCAAAGUGAAAGUGAAAAUGACUGAAUAAGACCCAUAGUAGAAAGCAUGUCAUACAUAAAUGAGGGUCAGAGUUUGAUCUGCAGGACCACAAAAAGUAACUUGACGAUCGUAUGAUCCAUGGGCUAUAUCUGUGAAGUUCAAGGUUCAGGAAAUUACAGGUCUAUGUUUUGUGUUCAAUGCAUGCCACCUGAAAACAGAGGUUAGCAAACACAAUUUCUGCCUUCAAGUUGGUCACAGUGUAGAAAUUCUGACACGUUUCUGGGGUAGAAUCUGUGCAUUCAUUUUGUUUUGUUUUUAUUGACAUUUUUUUAUUUUGUCCCUGUGUAUGCAUGUGUAUGUCGUGUGUGUGUGUGUGUGUGUGUGUGUGUGUGUGUGUGUGUGAGAGAGAGAGAGAGAGAGAGAGAGAGAGAGAGAGAGAGAGGUGCCUGUGUCUGUGUAUGUCUGUGUUAGCUGUAUACACGUACCAUGGUGCAUGAGACAGCCACUUACAAAAGAGAGUCAAUUCUCUCCUCCUACCAUGAGUCCCGGGGUUCAAACUCAGGUCAUUAGUCUUGACAACGGAUACUUGUACCACUGAGCAUUUCAACAACCCAGGAAGUACUCCAGGAGAUCCUCAUAUCUGUCAGAGUUGAAAGGUUAAGAGUUCUGUGUGCCCAACAGCCAUCACAGGAUGUGUGUUCUUAGAGAAUGAGCAUCAGGCCUGGGCACAGCUCAGUGGCAGAGCUUCUGCCUAGGAGGUAGGGGGACUUGGCUUCCAUCUGGAGCACCAAAUAAUAAUAAUAAUAACAAUAAAUGAAUAAAUGCAAGAAGUGCUGGAGAACACUGAUAAAGGUUUCUACACAGAAAGCCUGAUGGAAGUGGUAUGGGAGGAACAGGAAAGAGCGUCAAAGGUCAGAAUGUCCCCAAAUGAUCAUGGUACCAGGGGCCAGAGAAAGCCUGGCAAACAAGACUCUGAGAUGUCAUGGCAUGAUCCCACCUUAUCUGUUAGGAAUGGGUGCUGGAAAGCAAGUUAUUGGUGUUGGCUUAUGGGGCUCUGUGAGCUACUCUUAAGUUGUUGAACUGCAUUCUCUUUUUCUAAUUUUUGUUUAAUUUGUGACAAGGUUUCACGUGUCCCAGACUGGUCUUGACCUCAUUGCGUAUCUGAAGACAACUUUGAGCUUCUGAUACACCUGUCUCUGUCUUCCAAUGGCUGGGGUUACCUGUGUGCAAUACCACAUCUGGUCUUCUGCAGUGUUGGAGAUCAAACUCAGAGAUUCAUGCAUAGUCGACAAGCUCUCCAUCAACUGAGCCACAUCUCCAGCCCCAAGGAGAAGUGUUUUGUACUUGGUUGGGGUUUCUGUUUUCUUAGGGGACCUGGGAGUGGGGUGUUAAGACAGGUCUCACAGAGUCCUGGGUAGCCUCACUCUGUAGCAGAGCUUUAUAUGUAACAAAAGACAACUUUGAACUUAAGAUUUUCCCGAUGUAUUUUUUCCAUUAAGGUGACCAUGGAAAGUCUCCAUGUUUCUGAAAGAGAAAAUUGACCUAAGUGUGAACUGUGGACGUAAGAGAAAGAGAAUAGCAGUAUAAAUCAGCAACAGAUGGAGAGAGCACAGGAAGAGGCUGGACUGGAGCCAGUAGGAAGACGGUCAACAAGAGCCAUUUCUGGGCACACACAGUCUUGUGUCAUUAGCAGUUUGUAGGCUCUCAUUAAAUGUCUGGUGAACAAAUGUCCUGAAAAGCAGAGCAAGAAGGAGGAGGUGUUGAUGACGAUUCUCAAGUCGCUGAUUGAAAUGACCAUGGUGUUGUCCAAGAAGGAGCAAACAGCUUCAUUGGAGAUGUUUGAGAUUCAAAGCCAUGAAUACCGCUCUGAAGUACAGUUAUCACCAUAACAUAUAAUAAAUAAUAGUGAAAAAAGUGAAGGUCUCCUUCAAAUUUCUGCUUUGUGCUGAACAGCUCUCAUUUUAAUACAGCGCUACACUUCUAUGACCUGCACUGACAGUGAGCUUGCUUUGGUGGGGUGUUUAGAGACAUCAGGAGUAAACACCUUUUUUCCCCUGCCCGAAUGCAGAACCGAGUGUGUGGGGAGGCAUAGAGGUCAUCUGAUUCACUCCGAAAGUCUAACUCUGUCAGCAGGACAGGGAUCUUAAUGAUGUUUGACUCCAAAAGAAAGUUGCAGCCAUCUGACCACCAGCUAUGGCAUCCCAAAAGAAAAGAUGGCCAGAGUAUAGACUAGGGUAAGCCUCUGCAGACAGAUUGAGAAAAGAGAACUAGAGAUUCCAGAUUUCUCCUUCUACAUGUCUCAGGCCAAUGGAACGUGAAAGGAAAGAGGAAUCAUGAGUGUCCGUCACCUAAACAUCCCACUCAGAAACCUGAACCACAGGGAAUAAGUGGCCCACCACAUAUCAGGCCAUUAUAAUAUGAGGGGUUAUGAAGGGAAAGCUCCCAUCUUGUACUGAUGACUCCCUCCCAAGCAAACCAAAGGCUCCUGAUGCAAAUGCGUGCCUUGACAAAUUAUAAAUUACUAGUGUUGAAGGCUGAAAUUAUAAUCUAGAGAUCUUCUGUGGCUUUAUUUUUCCACAAAACAGAGUCAGUGUUCCCAUGGUCUCAACAGAAAAGACUGGUUUUAUAGAGAGAAGGACAGAAGGAAACACAAACAGAACAGAAACAAAUGGACUGGACGUUUCGGUCACUUUCUUUGUAAGAUAAAGGGAGAGAGCGCAAUGGAAAGUCAUUGGCAAGUUAAUAUCAGAUGACUCAGGGUUACCUUUGCUUGUGUAAGAAUGAAGGCACAGGGAUCAGGGAAAUGCAAAUUUAAACAGUUUUGAGAUUUCAUCUUCAGUCAGAAUGUCCAAGAUCAAUAAAACGUGUGGCAACUCAUGCUGUCGAGGAUCUGGAGCAGAGGGAACACCCAUCCGUCACUGGUGGGUGUGCAAACUUGUACAGCCACUAUGGAAAUCAGUGUGGAGGUUCCUCGGAGUAGAUCUAUCUCAAGACCCAGCUAUACCAUUUGUCUUAGUUAGGUUGACAUUGCUGUGAGAGGACACCAUGACCACGGCUUCUCUUGCAAAGGAGAACAUUCAAUUGGCUGGCUUACAGUUCAGAAGCUCAGUCCAUUAUCAUCAUGGCGGGACAUAGUGAUGUGUGGGCAGACACGGGGCUGGAGAAGGAGCUGACAGUUCUACACCUUGCAGGCAACAGGAAGUGCACUGAGUGUUCCACUGAGAGACGCUGGAGCAAAAGAGACCUCAAAGUCCACCCCCGCCCCCGUGACACACUUCCUCCAAACACUUCCUCCAACAAAGCCACACCUCCUAAUAGUACCGCCUCCUUUGGGGGCCAUUUUCUUUCAAACCACCACACCACUCUUGGGCAUCUACCCAAAGGACUCUGCAUCAAACGGCAGAGACACCUGCCUCAUCCAUGAUCACUGCCAAUUCAUAUUAGCCAGAAAUUGGAAAAAACAGAGAUGUUAUCAACAGAUGAUUGGAUGAAGAAAAUGUGGUACAUUUACACAAUGGAAUAGUAUUCUGCUGUUAAAAAAUAACAUCGUGACGAGACAGAGAAGCGUGUGUAAGAUGAGUUUCGUGAAGGCGUCUUGGCAGUAUCAGGUCUCUAGGGUCUCAGAAAGUAAUGGGCUCUCAUCGUAGAUCUCAUGACCUACUGUAGUGGAAAACGUCACUGUCAAGCCAUUUUGUCUCUAUACUGGUCAGCAGCUGAAGCACACUCCUGCUCAUUAGUGUCUCUUUGAUUUAAGGGACUUUUCUGGCUGUGGGCCUGUGGUGAUAUUUUGUUUAUUCUGUAACAAAUAAAG
This is a non-coding RNA of Cricetulus griseus (Chinese hamster), 7104 nucleotides long. The record is from RefSeq and is a predicted model, not a curated record. NCBI's taxonomy places the organism in Eukaryota, Metazoa, Chordata, Mammalia, Rodentia, Cricetidae.